GCGGUUGUAGUCUAGCCUGGUAGGACUCGAGCUUCCCAAGCUCGAAACCCGGGUUCAAAUGCAGGUUUGCUUGCGAUAAUGCGCAUUCAGCCCCGC
Molecule: transfer RNA, 96 nt
Filed under: uncultured archaeon
Lineage: Archaea
Description: tRNA-Gly(ccc)
Rfam family: tRNA
About the family: Transfer RNA (tRNA) molecules are approximately 80 nucleotides in length. Their secondary structure includes four short double-helical elements and three loops (D, anti-codon, and T loops).
Source: RNAcentral